RNAcentral lists this small RNA (122 nucleotides) under Nitratireductor pacificus pht-3B. RNAcentral's name for it is "Nitratireductor sp. Pht-3B Alphaproteobacterial ar14". It matches the Rfam family "Alphaproteobacterial ar14". From Rfam's summary of the family: Smr14C2 was renamed NfeR1 (Nodule Formation Efficiency RNA) highly expressed in salt stress and during the symbiotic interaction on legume roots. The record is from Rfam by way of RNAcentral. Lineage: Bacteria; Pseudomonadati; Pseudomonadota; Alphaproteobacteria; Hyphomicrobiales; Phyllobacteriaceae.
ACAGUUUCGUCGAGGUUACCUCCUCCCAACCUCGGCGGAUAUGACCGGCACCUCCUCCUCCCAAAAUGCCGGUCACCCCAUAACGACACCCGCCGAACCUCCUCCCUCGGCGGGUGUUGUUU